This 225-nucleotide unclassified non-coding RNA is filed under the name soil metagenome. RNAcentral describes it as "partial internal transcribed spacer 1". The record is from RNAcentral.
AAAAUAUGAAAACCCACUCGUGGUGACCUUUGUCCCCACGAGUAUAAUCUAAAUACCACAUCUUGUGAACCGUACCGUCUUUGGUGGUGGGUGGACGCUGCGGUCAGCAGCGCGCCAUCUGUCAGCUUGGAUCGAAAGCUCCGGGCCGUGGACAAGCCACCGCAUGUAUUCAAACCUUUGCUUGCUGUUUUUGUCUGACGAUUCAUUCUGUAUUAAAUAUACAAA